CUUGACGGAGCCCAGCCACAGGGGCCGGCCGUCGGGCCGCUCCUGGCCGUAGGCCGCGAGCAGGGCCUGCGCCUC
Molecule: antisense RNA, 75 nt
Filed under: Streptomyces katrae
Lineage: Bacteria; Bacillati; Actinomycetota; Actinomycetes; Kitasatosporales; Streptomycetaceae
Description: ASpks sRNA
Rfam family: ASpks TB sRNA
Source: RNAcentral